Molecule: long non-coding RNA, 2435 nt
Organism: Haplochromis burtoni (Burton's mouthbrooder)
Lineage: Eukaryota; Metazoa; Chordata; Actinopteri; Cichliformes; Cichlidae
Exons: 2
Source: RefSeq, a predicted model, not a curated record
UUUGGCAAGCGCAGGAGACACGACACGGAGGAGAUUUGUCAAUCAGGCUGCAGAAUGCAAUGCUGCACUGUGCAAUAAAAACUCAGCGAAAAAGCGAAGCAGUGACGGAUGAAAAGCGGGACCACUGUGUGCUGUUUAUUAAGGCUGUUUUAAACGGCCACAAAGGAGCAGAUUGGUUAUAAUGCAGCUGCUUCAGAGGAACAAACACUGUUUUUAUUUCAUGUGUAACACCUUUCAAUGAUGUGUUGACUAAAGUCUAUUGACCAGUAUAAGUAAAGACAUCACACACACACAUGGAAACACUGAAACCUGUUUGUGGUGCAGCAGCGGUCCCUCGCCUUUAUCUAGACUGGGUCGGCUGCUGAUCUCAAUAUAAUCAAUGUUUAAAGUUCUCAGUGUUUCUGUGUUGCUGCGUAUAGGAUCUCCCAGCAUCAUCACUGUGCUGUCCAAUCAUUGUGUGCGAGGUUACCCUUAUAGUGCGAUGUGUGUUUGCACAAAGAGAAGCAUGUGUGUCAAAUAUAAAUAAGCACAGAACAGAAACAGCUGCUCGUUUCUUCUGUUUAGAGUCAAGUUAGUGUUUUGUGUCUUUGUUUGAGGCCUGAUGUCGAGCAGAGGUGUGUGUAACUGCACUGGUCUGUUAUAUGUGUGAAGUGUGUGCUUCUCUUCAGCAUCAUCUUUGUCACUGCUGAUUCCUUUGUGUCAUCAUGUGUUGAGAAGAGAGAACAGUUAUAACGGAGGAGCAAAAGGAAGCCCUGAAAUCUGCAUCAACAAGGAAGUGUUGGCUCACCAGUGAUCCCAGCAGAGCCACUGGUUUGGCUCCAGUUGUUCUAGAUUCAAUGAUGUUGUUGCUACAGAUACAUGUCAGCAUCUUUAUUGUAGUAAAGUCUUGUAAUGUGAAGAUAGAAACAAGGCAGCAAACAGCUCCAUGAUCUGAUCUUAUGAUGUUGUUUUUAUUCCUGUCUGUCAGAACUGGAUUGGAAACUAUCAAAGGUCUAAAAACAGCCUCGACCCUCCCACAGAGCAAACUUUACACACCUCAUCUUUCAGCUACAAUCUUUGUUGCAGGGAUCUUCUGCCAAACAAGGCUGAGAGAAGAUUUCUUACAGCUGUCAUGUUGAUGCUGUUUCAGUCUUUGGGCAAACACACUCAUAUAUUAGGGCUGAUAUCAGGGCUGCACAAGUUCUUUGUGUUUGUGAUCAUGAAUAACAGAAGUGUGCCUGUUGAAGAUCAUGUUUCUGCAUUAUUAUAUGUCCUGUUAUUGUUCUGUGUUAUAUUCAGCUUUCAGCAUCCUUUCCCAGCCCCUGUUACACCAUCCAUACAAAGCCAAUCUGACUGUGAGCCAAUGUGUUUGUUUGUGUUGGAUCAAUAGAUUUGACAGACUUGGUUCAUCCAGAGGGAAACAGUCCAAAUUCAGAUCUAAUGAAAUGAUGGAGGCUGUUUCCUACCACGGUGCUGAUGUGUGACUAACAAGGCUCAUGGUCUCCAGCAGACAAGCGCCUGGAAUGAGGCCCAGUGAAAGAUAUGAAGCAGAAAUGGUGUCAUUAGGAGAAGAAGAGGAGAACAAGUCCGGCGAGGAGGCAGCAGCUCUUAAAGAUGAAACAGCAGCUCAGCCCUGAGCUCAGAGAGCUGCACAUGAAAAAGCUCCUCAAGCAGAUCCUGUCAGAGGUUUGUCAUCAACAGGAGGAACUGUUCACAUCAUAGGAUGAAGAUGCUGUCAGCUGGAUGAAGAAGGUUAUUUAAUGCAAACGUUCACACUGAAGUCAAAUUGUUGUCGUGUUGAACAGAUUCAUGUACUGAUCGUCUCCAGAAGGUUAGAAGAGCUUCAAUGAAUCAUUAGAAACAACUUACAGCUGCACAGCUGUGUCAAACACAUCUGUGUGUCAUUGUGGGAUUGUUGUGUUUCUACAUGUGACACACGUCUAAAACAUGCACACAAUCUGAACACAAACAGGGACUCAUGUGUUCCCACAGCCAGAUGCUGAGAGCCAUUUCCUUGUAGUGCUGUGUCUACAUACAUGAACCAUUAGAUGUUAUUGGAAUGAUUGUCAGCUCUGAUAGUUUCAUGUGUGUUUAGCUGGACGCUGUUUGAUCCUCGACAUGUUUAAAGGUGUCCAGUCCUGAGACACUGGGGCUGGAAACAGCUGUGAUGUCAUUGGACUGUCACACAGACAGAAGUGCAUGAAGUGAGCAGCCGAGGAGCCGCUGAUGUUUUGGAUUCAACAGCAUUUGAAAGGUCGACACAGACACGUUUGCACACAGAAAGCUGAAUCUGUCAUAUGCCACAGUGAACUCACUGUUCAGUGUUUUUCAGGAAGCUUCUUAACUGCCUCUGCUGCCAAACAAGCAGCUGAUGUCCUUGAGAAGAAGCUGAAGAAGUCUCCAACAACAAAUACAGGAAGUGGACUUUCAAAUACUAGAUUCACUUUAGACUCACA